ACGCUCGACACCUACGGGAAGCAGCAGUGGGGAAUAUUGCACAAUGGGGGAAACCCUGAUGCAGCAACGCCGCGUGAAGGAAGACGGUUUUCGGAUUGUAAACUUCUGUUCUUAGUGAAGAUAGUGACGGUAGCUAAGGAGCAAGCCACGGCUAACUACGUGCCAGCAGCCGCGGUAAUCUGAGCGGGCUGGCAAGGC
This 198-nucleotide ribosomal RNA is filed under the name uncultured bacterium. Its description in RNAcentral is "partial 16S ribosomal RNA". It matches the Rfam family "Bacterial small subunit ribosomal RNA", at positions 326 to 539 of the family's 1533-position model. The record is from RNAcentral.